ACUGAAAUCGCUUAGUAGCUAGCUACUUAGCUAGUGGGGGUGAUUAUGCUAACAGCUCGGCUAACGUUAAUUAAUUGUGAUGAAGGCACCUGUUGGACAAGAUGCUUCAAGUCAGAUAUCGCCGUUUGUGACCAGAAAUGCCUCUUGGUGCCUGAGACCUUCAACACAAGCCGUCUCCAGGACUAAAACCGAACUCUCCUCAGGGCUGCGCAUCAGGGUGAUGUUGAUGUCAUCAACUGCAGAUCGAACACAAUGUCGGGCGCAACAUGAAACGGCCAUGGCAACAAGUUACCUUUCACCCUCCACUCUGCUUUCGAAGCACAUGUCACAGCAGGCGAGAGUUCAUGGAUGCACAGAACAGGGCGGUUGUUCCACUCAGGUCUUAAUGAGAAGAGUUGAAGAGAGAGCCGGAUGUUGUUUUCUGAUGCCGGCUUAUCCAACAGAAUAAAUCACCGAAUCCAGAAUCACAGAUAUGGUAAACAUCCCAUUACAAACGUCACUAAGUCUCUGAUUGUGCGGUCAGGCAAAGCUCCAACUGGCCCAGAGCAUCAGCAGCGUACCGGCAUACGAGGCCAGAACCAACAGAUAAAAGCGAAACAGGAAACGGUCAAGCUUGGAGCAGAGGGCAAGCCAUUCAGCCUGAGCCGAAGACUCAUUGUCCUCCUGGGACAAAGCCAGGCGGAGGGAAACCAGCUCCUGGAGAAGCCACUCCAGCCCAGAUGGAGCAUCCUGGAUCUCAUUCAGGGACAGCAGGUCCUCCUCCACUGAGGGCUCAAGCUCAUAAUCUAUAAGAAGAUCAAAAAUUUAAUUUUAAAAUGCAAACGAUUAGUAUUGAUUCAUUCAGUUUCUAUAAAUUAAAUGUGGACAAUUAAAACCAAUCAUUAUGGAAAGGACGAUUGUAUUAUUAUUCAUGACAUCAGUAUUGCUAUACUUUCAAAAAAGCUCAGUUUCCAAACACUUUGAUACAGACUGUUGUUGAUCUCAGCUGGUCAUAGAACAGCUCUUCCUCAUCUUUUAUCAUUAUUAAUAGAAAGCUUUCUGAUGGGAGAUUAAAAGAA
This is a long non-coding RNA of Etheostoma spectabile (orangethroat darter), 1058 nucleotides long. RefSeq lists it as uncharacterized. Lineage: Eukaryota; Metazoa; Chordata; Actinopteri; Perciformes; Percidae. The transcript is spliced from 3 exons. The record is from RefSeq and is a predicted model, not a curated record.